AAUUGAAUAAUUAAUUGUUGAUUAAUUUUUAUAGACACAACUUGAAGAUGAAAAAAAAUUUCUUGGAUUCAUGUCGUUACGAGUGACAAUAGUCUUUGCUUUCUAUUAAAAACAAAGAGAGAGACAGCUGAAUGAUGACGAGAAAUUAUAUGGAUAAAUGUCACGACAUUUAUUGUCACUAAAUUAUUUACAAAAAAAAUAACCACAGAUACAACAAAAGGAUGAGUGAGUAGGAAUUAAAUUGAAAAAUGCAAUUACAAGUGCCAAAAGUUUUGGCUUUAUCAAACAAGGACAGAUAUCAUUGAAUAUUAAAAGUUGAAUAAGUAUCGACAGAUAUCAAGGAAUUUUCAAUCCAAAAAUGUCUCGAGUGCAGAGGAUCAUGAAGGAAGAUAAUUGAUGUGAUUUUUAUUGCAUGUUGGCUUAUGUAAUGAUGAAUAAGUCAAAUAAACAAGAAAUAAUAUCAUGCAGCUGUUGAAAAUAAUUAAUUUAUUUAAAUUAAUUAUUGCCUGUUGUUUGAAUGGGCCAUUGAAUAUUAGGACUGUUGUUGGUGCUGGAGCAUAAUCAAGACAUCAAUCAGUGAAACACCAUUUUAUUAUAAAUUUAAUAAAAUGGUAUGAUAUGGAUAAUUUUAUUAUUAUUUUUUUUUAUUUGAUAAAUAAAUUAUAUUAUUGAUUGAAAAUGCAAUGCAUAAUUAUUUAAUUUACUUUGUACUGUUGUCAAUUGAAAUAGCUAUUUUCAGGCAAUAAUUAUUUAUUUAUUUUGUAAUGAUAAAAUGAUGAUUUUGUUGUUGUUUUUUUUUAAAUUUUAUUAUCAUUGUUUAAAAUAUCAAAAAAAAGAGUAAUUUAUUAAAUAUUUAACUGUCAAGUCUUUUUAUAAAAUGUAAUAUAAAAAU
Long non-coding RNA from Aphidius gifuensis, 892 nucleotides. RefSeq lists it as uncharacterized. The record is from RefSeq and is a predicted model, not a curated record. The transcript is spliced from 6 exons. Lineage: Eukaryota; Metazoa; Arthropoda; Insecta; Hymenoptera; Braconidae.